This 72-nucleotide transfer RNA is filed under the name Methanimicrococcus blatticola. It matches the Rfam family "tRNA". From Rfam's summary of the family: Transfer RNA (tRNA) molecules are approximately 80 nucleotides in length. Their secondary structure includes four short double-helical elements and three loops (D, anti-codon, and T loops). Further hydrogen bonds mediate the characteristic L-shaped molecular structure. tRNAs have two regions of fundamental functional importance: the anti-codon, which is responsible for specific mRNA codon recognition, and the 3' end, to which the tRNAs corresponding amino acid is attached (by aminoacyl-tRNA synthetases). tRNAs cope with the degeneracy of the genetic code in two manners: having more than one tRNA (with a specific anti-codon) for a particular amino acid; and 'wobble' base-pairing, i.e. permitting non-standard base-pairing at the 3rd anti-codon position. Lineage: Archaea; Methanobacteriati; Methanobacteriota; Methanomicrobia; Methanosarcinales; Methanosarcinaceae. RNAcentral also lists the same sequence under 2 other names. The record is from Rfam by way of RNAcentral.
GCCAACGUGGCAGAGCGGCUAUGCGUUCGCCUGCAGAGCGAAUCUACUUCGGUUCAAAUCCGGACGUUGGCU